Molecule: ribosomal RNA, 235 nt
Filed under: uncultured bacterium
Lineage: Bacteria
Description: partial 16S ribosomal RNA
Rfam family: Bacterial small subunit ribosomal RNA
Source: RNAcentral
CGGCGGACGGGUGGGUAAUGUCUGGGAAACUGCCCGAUGGAGGGGGGUAACUACUGGAAACGGUAGCUAAUACCGCAUAACGUCGCAAGACCAAAGAGGGGGACCUUAGGGCCUCUUGCCAUCGGAUGUGCCCAGAUGGGAUUAGCUAGUAGGUGGGGUAACGGCUCACCUAGGCGACGAUCCCUAGCUGGUCUGAGAGGAUGACCAGCCACACUGGAACUGAGACACGGUCCAG